This 1388-nucleotide ribosomal RNA is filed under the name Sabahphrynus maculatus (spotted Asian tree toad). Its description in RNAcentral is "partial 16S ribosomal RNA". It matches the Rfam family "Bacterial large subunit ribosomal RNA", at positions 130 to 2567 of the family's 2925-position model. The record is from RNAcentral. Lineage: Eukaryota; Metazoa; Chordata; Amphibia; Anura; Bufonidae.
GUUAAAAACCUAGCUCAACCAACACGUAUGUUACUUAACUAACUUACCCCUUUUAAUAAACCAUUUUAAUAAUUUAGUAAAGGAGAUUAAAAGAUUAAUUGAAGCUAUAACUAUAGUACCGAAAGGGAACGGUGAAAUAUAUAGUGAAAAAUUUUUAAACAUUAAAAAGUAAAGACUUCCCCUUGUACCUUUUGCAUCAUGGUUUAACUAGUUUAAUCAAGCAAAUCGUACUUAAGUUUGACCUCCCGAAACUAAGUGAGCUACUUCAGGGCAGCUAAAAGAGCAAACCCGUCUCUGUUGCAAAAGAGUGGGACGACCCUCAAGUAGCGGUGACAGACCUAACGAACUUAGUGAUAGCUGGUUACUCAAGAAACGGAUUUAAGUCCAACCUGAAACUUUUAACGUCUACCAAAACAAUAAUUAAUUUUUAGUGUAAUUCAAAUAAGGUACAGCCUAUUUGAAACAGGAUACAACCUAGACUAAUGGAUAAAUUUAGCUUAAACACAACCAAGUGGGCCUAAAAGCAGCCACCUUUAAAAAUGCGUCAAAGCUUAGUUGUCUCCACGCCCAAUACCCUAAUUUUUACUAUAAUCCUCUAUCCAUAUUGAGUAAUUCUAUACUAGUAUAGAAAAUUUUAUGUUAAAACUAGUAACAAGAAGAAGACCCUUCUCUUAAACGUAAGCAUAAAUCAGAAAGGACAAACCACUGAUACUUAACACGCUUGAUUUUAAAGUAGUAACUAACUAAGAAAAUCCUACUCUAAUUAAUGUUAAUCUUACACAAGAACUUUUUAAGAAAGAUUGAAAGGAAAAGAAGGAACUCGGCAAACAUUAACCCCGCCUGUUUACCAAAAACAUCGCCUCUUGAACUUAACAUAAGAGGUCCAGCCUGCCCAGUGACUCUGUUCAACGGCCGCGGUAUCCUAACCGUGCGAAGGUAGCGUAAUCACUUGUUCUUUAAAUGAGGACUAGUAUGAAUGGCCCCACGAAGGUUAUACUGUCUCCUUUACCUAAUCAGUGAAACUAAUCUCCCCGUGAAGAAGCGAGGAUAAGAAUAUAAGACGAGAAGACCCUAUGGAGCUUUAAACAAUAUAGCACAUACCAUGCAACACCUAAAUUUCCGAGUCUUAAUUCAUUGAGGUAUUAUGACUAUAAGUUUUUGGUUGGGGUGACCGCGGAGCAUAACAUAACCUCCACGCUGAAAUAUUUUAGACUAAGAACUACACAUCUAAGAAUCAAUAUAUUGACAGCCAUUGACCCAAUAUAAUUGAACAACGAACCAAGUUACCCUAGGGAUAACAGCGCAAUCCACUUCAAGAGCCCCUAUCGACAAGUGGGUUUACGACCUCGAUGUUGGAUCAGGGUGUCCCAGUGGUGCAGCCGCUACUA